GGGGGAAAAAUUAAUUAAAUAAUAAUAAUAAAAUAAAUUUUAAAAUUAAAAAUAAAUAAUGGGGGUUAAAGUAUUUUUAAUAGAAAAAAUUUAAAAUUUUAUAGUUAAUUAGUAUUGUGGGUGAAAUUUGAAAUAUGUGAAAAUUAAUUAGUAAGAAAAAAAAUUUAAUUUAUUGUAUCUUGUGUAUCAGAGUUUAUUAAAUAAGUUUUUUGGGGAAAAAAAUCUCGAAUUUAAAAGAGUUAAUUAAUUAAUAAAGUUAAUGUAACAUAAUUAUUUUAAAUAAUUAAUUAGAAAUGAAAUGUUAAUCGUUUUUAAAUAUAUCUAGUUAUUUUAGAAAAAAAUUUAAUUUUAAAUUUAUAUAAUUUUAUAAUUUCAUAAUAAAAAUUAUAAAAAUUUAAAUUUAAUAUAUUAAGGGAUAAGCUUUAAAUUAAAAAUUUAUAAUAAAUUAAUAUUAAAAUUAAAAUUUUUAAAAUUUAUAUUGUUUAAAAAUUAUAAUUUAUUAUAAAAAAUUUUAAUAAAUAUAUAAAAUUUAAUAAUAAAAAUUUAAAUUUAUAUAAAAUAAUAAUUUUUAAUAAAAUAAAAUUAAUAAUAAUGAUAAAAUUAGUAUAAAUAUAAUUAAAAAUAUUAAAUAAAUAUUUAAAAUUAAUAAAAAGGAAUUCGGCAAAUAAAAUAUUCACUUGUUUAUCAAAAACAUGUCUUUUUGAAUAUAAUUUAAAGUCUAAUCUGCCCACUGAUAAUUAUUAAAGGGCUGCAGUAUAAUGACUGUACAAAGGUAGCAUAAUCAAUAGUUUUUUAAUUGGAAACUUGUAUGAAAGAUUUGAUGAAAUAUAGACUGUCUCUUAUUUAUUUUUAGAAAUUUAUUUUUUAGUUAAAAAGCUAAAAUAAUUUUAAAAGACGAGAAGACCCUAUAGAGUUUUAUAUUUAUUUUUAUUUUAAAAUUAUAUUAAAUUUUUUUUUUUAUUAAAAUAAAAUUAUUUAUUUUAUUGGGGUGAUAGAAAAAUAUGAUAAACUUUUUUUAAAAAUUAAACAUAAAUAAAUGAUUAAAUGAUCCAUUAAUAAUGAUUAUAAGAAAAAAUUACCUUAGGGAUAACAGCGUAAUAUUUUUUUUUAGUUCAAAUAAAAAAAAAAGUUUGCGACCUCGAUGUUGGAUUAAGAUAAAAUUUAAAUGCAAAAGUUUAAAAUUUUGAUCUGUUCGAUCAUUAAAAUCUUACAUGAUCUGAGUUCAAACCGGUGUAAGCCAGGUUGGUUUCUAUCUUUAGAUAAAAAUGAUAUUUUAGUACGAAAGGAUCAAAUAUUAAAAAUAAUUUUAAUAAAAGAAUAUUAUUAAUUAAUUGAGUAAUAAAAUU
RNAcentral lists this ribosomal RNA (1346 nucleotides) under Davidina urda. RNAcentral describes it as "16S ribosomal RNA". The record is from RNAcentral. Lineage: Eukaryota; Metazoa; Arthropoda; Insecta; Lepidoptera; Nymphalidae.